GCGGCUGCUGUUACCACAACUGUUGCAUGCAACAUGGAUGGCGAAAAUCGGAUUAUAUUAAAUGUGGGCGGCAUUAGAUAUGAAACCUAUAAGGCAACGCUCAAGAAAAUACCCGCAACGCGCCUCUCACGUCUGACCGAAGCCUUGGCCAAUUAUGAUCCGGUGCUCAACGAGUAUUUCUUCGAUCGCCAUCCCGGAGUCUUUACGCAAAUACUCAAUUAUUACAGAACUGGUAAGCUGCAUUAUCCGACAGACGUCUGUGGCCCACUGUUUGAGGAGGAGCUAGAGUUUUGGGGACUCGAUUCGAAUCAGGUAGAACCAUGCUGCUGGUCAACUUAUAGCAUACAUCGCGAUACGCAAAACACCUUAGCUAUAUUAGAUAAACUAGAUAUUGAAAAUGAGAAACCCACGGAGGAGCAAAUAGCACGUCUGUUUGGCUUCGAGGAGGCUUUAAGCAACGGCGAGCUUAACUGUUGGCAACGUCUAAAGCCCAAAAUUUGGGCCAUGUUCGAUGAGCCGUCGAGCUCAACGGGCGCCAAGUUUGUUGCUGGCAUGUCGGUAUUCUUUAUAUUUGUUUCUGUGAUAUCAUUCUGCCUGAAAACCCAUCCCGGUUUUCGCGUGGACCUGCCCACCAGCUACAGCGCCGGCCUGCCUGCGUCUGGCCAUGAUCCGCUGGCGCCGCCCAUACCUCAGCAGCCGGUGCAACAGUCCCAGUCGCAGCCGCAUCAUCAUUCGCAGCAGCAGCAGCAGUAUCAAUACCAUCAACAUAGCAUAACGCCACCUAGUGGCAGCAUUGGUCCCACAUUUCGUGUCACGAACUACACGAGCUACAGCAGCGGCAACUUGAGCGCUGCACAGGCCACGCCCAUUGCCACCAUAAAGGGCCAACAGCAACGGCAGCGUCUGAAACGUGACCUAAACACGAGCAGCCUGAACGAGUUCCUUGAGGAUAAGCUACUCGGUCAGAAUGGACGCAGACAGCACGGCUGGAUCGAGACCUACGGCCAGCCGCACAAGGCCUUCUUCUAUGUGGAGCUCGUAUGCAAUGUUUGGUUCUUCAUCGAGGUUGUCAUCAGGCUAAUUGUUUCACCCAAUCUGUGGCAGUUCAUUAAGUCUCCCGUUAACAUUAUCGACUUUACGGCCACGUUGAGCUUCUAUACGGAUGUCAUGCAGCGCAUGGGCGAAUAUACGGGCCUGCUGGAGGCAUUUUCCAUAGUGCGCAUAAUGCGUCUCUUUAAGCUGACACGUCACUCGCCAGGACUACGCAUCCUUAUACACACGUUCAAGGCUUCGGCCAAGGAAUUGACUCUGCUCGUGUUCUUCCUCGUUCUCGGCAUCGUCUUCUUUGCCAGUUUGGCCUAUUAUGCGGAAAAAUUACAGGACAAUCCAGACAACCAAUUCAAGAGCAUACCAUUGGGCUUAUGGUGGGCCAUUGUUACCAUGACCACAGUGGGCUAUGGCGACGUGGCGCCCAAAACGUAUCCGGGCAUGUUUGUGGGCGCACUGUGCGCACUGGCUGGUGUCCUGACCAUAGCACUACCCGUACCUGUUAUCGUUAGCAAUUUCUCCAUGUUCUAUUCGCACACCCAGGCCCGCUCCAAGUUGCCCAAGAAACGCCGCCGAGUGCUGCCCGUGGAGCAGCCGCGUCGCAAACGGGAGCCGCCGGCACCGCAUCGAGGCCGGACCAAUGCCAUUAAACAGACAACGCCGACGGUGCCGGGCGUAGUAGGCGGCCAUACAACUAUACAGGCGCCUACGCCCAUGUUCAAGGAUGCAUUUGGCAGCGCCAAAAUUGCGGACUACUUAAGCGUGCCGGCAGUUCAGAGUCUACAGCCGAGAGCGGCAACCACUGGACAUGAUUUUAUGCUGCCUCUACAGCCGAAACUUGUCGCGCCUCUGGAACGCAAAGAACAGCAUCCUUUGCAGCUGACCGCUCACAACUUGGCCUCGGAUACGCAUCAACUGUACGCCGGCCAUGCCCAUGGGCCCAAAGCAGGCACCGUACUAAAUGUGCCGCCCACCAUCAGCAUGACGCACACACAAAUGCCGCCGGGCAUGGCCAGCAUGGGGCAGCGCACACCGAAUCUCAGCUACCGGGCAACACAUACGCACACGCAUGCGCCCAUCCAGCAGCCCAUACCACAACACUAUCAGCACCUGGGCUCAUCAAGGUCAAGCGGUCUGGAGUCGACCAACUGCAAUAUCCAAAUCUCAGUAGCUGGUGCCGCUGGUGCUGCUUGUACAGAGGAACUGAAGGCGCCCAAAGUUACGCUUCUUGAUGAUCUGAGCGAUGAGGUUAACUCCUCAACGGAUGACUGCGCUGAUUGCUGCCUGGUGGAUGACAGUGAUACGUACGAGGCCAGCAAUAACAAUGGCUCCUGUGCGAAUCAGGAAGUCGAGCAGGAAAGCGCCACUGCCGAGGAUAGCGGUGACAGUUUGGGUGGCAUUUACAUUGGUCCCACCCAUUGAUUUUUGGCCAUUAAAUGGGAAUUUCCAUGCUAGGUCUAACUACAAAAUGCUUUUUCUCAGUGUAAUUUAUCAGACUACCACAUGCCUGAUUCUCUGGACCAGUCUGCGCAUUCUCACCACACAAUGCCGUGAGUGCCAAGUCAAAUGAAUUUCAUUGGAGAAUCUGAGCACAGAAAGCUCUGCACUGCUUAUAGAACAUAUAGUGCCGGGCCAGGCGAAGCAUCUGCAGCAUUCGAAUUGGAACCUACAUCAACAGCAAAGCGCUUGAAAUUCAAUUCGAAGGCCUUAAACAAUUUGAAGUUAUUAAAAGCAACGCGAAAAGUUUAAUUGGAACUGUUUGUGGCACUGGGGAGCAUAGAGCCACCAAAUAGAUGUGGCAUAGAGAGUGCCCACUACUUGCUGUUGCUAGCAGAUCCGUAGAUGUUUCACUGCGGACUGGCGCUAAGUGUGCGCAAUUGAAGGCAAUUGAGCAAUUUUGUAUGCUCAGAGCGUCAGAAGACGCAUUUGCAUAAAUACAUUUAUUUAAUAUUUAAAUUAGUUUCGUGGCAUUUCAGCCAUGCACUUAUGUAUACAACACCCCCCCACACUCGCCCCCAUGUGCCUGGUCUGCAGCAAUUCAUCCUGCGCCCGCACAUUUUUACUGAUAAUCCCCAUUGACGCCUAAGUAAUUGUCCUUGACGUGAGGCAAAUGCAGCCAUUCAGACAGAGCCAAGUGAAGUAGUAGCUACCGACUGCCAGUUUGGGUUGGCUUAAAGACAAUGAGGCCGGCAUCUGGAUUGGUCCUAAGUAAACCUAAUAUGAACAUCAAAUGCAAAUUGACAAGUUUGUUGGUUCAUUGUCGCGGCGGCUCCUGGCACAGGCAACGAGGCAUCCAUUUUAUUCGGCGCUCUCCUGGGUUGAAGGAUUCUAGGACUCCAAACGAUUUUAAGGACAUUUACGAAUCUAACGAGUCUAUUCCUUCCAGGAUCGGACGUAUUUUAAGCUAGAUAUAGCCAUUUU
RNAcentral lists this unclassified non-coding RNA (3468 nucleotides) under Drosophila virilis. RNAcentral describes it as "GJ18373". The stretch from base 1450 to 1563 matches the Rfam family "Potassium channel RNA editing signal". Lineage: Eukaryota; Metazoa; Arthropoda; Insecta; Diptera; Drosophilidae. The record is from RNAcentral.